AUUUUUAUAUAAUUAUAGGUUAAAUUUUAAUUAUUUAAAAUGUAUAGUUAUAAUUUUAAAUUUUGUUAAUCGAAUUAGAUUAGUACCUAAUUAGUCAAAAGUUAAAAAAGCAGAAGUAAAGUAAAAUUUAAACUGAAAGAAUAUUGGCAGAUUUUCUAAAUUAUCUUUGGAGGUUGAGUAAUAAUUGAGAACCCUCAUUAACUACUUUUUUAGUUGUCUCAUGUAUGAUCGUUUAUUAUAUGCUUAAGGGAUAUAAUUAAAAAUUUUUAUUUAAAAAAAUAGAUAUAUAUUUGGUUUAUAUAAAAGUAAUAUUUGACCUACAGUAAUUUGUAAUUGUGGAUCUAUUUUUUAGUAAAGUAGUGAAAAUGUAAAAGACAGUAAAAAAAUUUUUAUGAUUUUUUGAAGAUUAUUUAGAAG
RNAcentral lists this ribosomal RNA (417 nucleotides) under Uncinaria lucasi. RNAcentral's name for it is "partial 12S ribosomal RNA". Lineage: Eukaryota; Metazoa; Nematoda; Chromadorea; Rhabditida; Ancylostomatidae. The record is from RNAcentral.